UACAUAGGGGGCAAGCGUUGUCCGGAAUCACUGGGCGUAAAGGGAGCGUAGGCGGAAAUUUAAGUUAAGUGUGAAAUCCUUGGGCUUAACCCAAGAACUGCACUUAAUACUGGGUUUCUAGAGUGUUGGAGAGGUAAGUGGAAUUCCUAGUGUAGCGGUAGAAUGCGUAGAUAUUAGGAGGAACAUCAGAGGCGAAGGCGACUUACUGGACAAUAACUGACGCUGAGGCUCGAAAGCGUGGGGAGCAAACAGG
This 253-nucleotide ribosomal RNA is filed under the name uncultured bacterium. RNAcentral's name for it is "partial 16S ribosomal RNA". It matches the Rfam family "Bacterial small subunit ribosomal RNA", at positions 524 to 776 of the family's 1533-position model. The record is from RNAcentral.